RNAcentral lists this RNase P RNA (406 nucleotides) under Niabella ginsenosidivorans. RNAcentral's name for it is "Bacterial RNase P class A". It matches the Rfam family "Bacterial RNase P class A". Rfam says of the family: Ribonuclease P (RNase P) is a ubiquitous endoribonuclease, found in archaea, bacteria and eukarya as well as chloroplasts and mitochondria. Its best characterised activity is the generation of mature 5'-ends of tRNAs by cleaving the 5'-leader elements of precursor-tRNAs. Cellular RNase Ps are ribonucleoproteins. The record is from Rfam by way of RNAcentral. Lineage: Bacteria; Pseudomonadati; Bacteroidota; Chitinophagia; Chitinophagales; Chitinophagaceae.
GUUACAAGCCGGGUUAUCGUUUCCGCCACAGGCGGGGAAGGAAAGUCCGGACAGCACAGAGCAAUGCACCGGUGAAUAGCCGGGCCCUGUUUAAAACAGGAAUAGAGAGUGCCACAGAAAAUAACUGUCCCGUACGGGACGAGGGUGAAAACGUGGGGUAAGAGCUCACGGUGUUUAUUAGUAAUAAUAAACACGGGUAAACCUUGCAUGCUGAAAUGCCAUGUAAACCCCGCUGAGGAUUAUCUUUGGGUGAUCCCGGUAAGCUGCUCGUUUACUAUCCCGUCUUUGACGGGGUGGCGGGAAGGGUAGGCAGAUUGAUUCAUUGAGGUAACUCUUUGAACAGAUAAAUGAUAACCGUCCCGCCCCGAGCGGGAUACAGAAUCCGGCUUACAGGCUUGUAACAUUU